Molecule: ribosomal RNA, 197 nt
Filed under: Leopardus guigna (kodkod)
Lineage: Eukaryota; Metazoa; Chordata; Mammalia; Carnivora; Felidae
Description: partial small subunit ribosomal RNA
Source: RNAcentral
UCGUGCCAGCCACCGCGGUCAUACGAUUAACCCAAACUAAUAGAUCCACGGCGUAAAGCGUGUUACAGAGAAAAACAUACUAAAGUUAAACCUUAGCUAGGCCGUAAAAAGCUACAGCUAACAUAAAAAUACAGCACGAAAGUAACUUUAACACCUCCGACUACACGAUAGCUAAGACCCAAACUGGGAUUAGAUAC